Pestalotiopsis sp. NC0098 is the source of this 96-nucleotide non-coding RNA. The record is from the annotation of a GenBank genome assembly. Lineage: Eukaryota; Fungi; Ascomycota; Sordariomycetes; Amphisphaeriales; Sporocadaceae.
GGCACUUUGGCGGAGUGGUUAACGCGAUGCCCUGCUAUCUACUAGAUAUCCUAGGCAUUUCCCUCGGGAGCGUGUGUUCGAAUCACACAGGUGUCG